Molecule: long non-coding RNA, 220 nt
Organism: Zophobas morio
Lineage: Eukaryota; Metazoa; Arthropoda; Insecta; Coleoptera; Tenebrionidae
Exons: 4
Source: RefSeq, a predicted model, not a curated record
UCUGAGCAAAAUAUAAUAAAAAAUUGCUUAAAUGAAGAUAAUAUUACGAAAUAUGGCUUUUCUGAAGAAACUGUUAUGGAUACUGCAACGGCUCUUUCGGUUCAUAUCGAAACCGAAGAGGAAGUUUGUGGAAACUCCACUUUUGUUGACCGGAACGGAUAUAUAAGAACUGCUAAUGAAGAAAAAGUAAGUUUAUCCGGCUUAUCGCUUUCGCCAUUUU